AGGACGAACGCUGGCGGCGUGCUUAACACAUGCAAGUCGAGCGGUGAUCCUCCUUCGGGAGGUGAUCAGCGGCGAACGGGUGAGUAACACGUGGGCAACCUGCCCCUCACACUGGGAUAACCUCGGGAAACCGGGGCUAAUACCGGAUACGACCUCGAGCGGCAUCUCUUGAGGUGGAAAGCUCCGACGGUGAGGGAUGGGCCCGCGGCCUAUCAGCUUGUUGGUGGGGUAAUGGCCUACCAAGGCGACGACGGGUAGCCGGCCUGAGAGGGCGACCGGCCACACUGGGACUGAGACACGGCCCAGACUCCUACGGGAGGCAGCAGUGGGGAAUAUUGCGCAAUGGGCGAAAGCCUGACGCAGCGACGCCGCGUGAGGGAUGAAGGCCUUCGGGUGUAAACCUCUUUCAGCAGGGACGAAGCGAAAGUGACGGUACCUGCAGAAGAAGCACCGGCUAACUACGUGCCAGCAGCCGCGGUAA
Molecule: ribosomal RNA, 481 nt
Filed under: uncultured bacterium
Lineage: Bacteria
Description: SSU rRNA
Rfam family: Bacterial small subunit ribosomal RNA
Source: RNAcentral